This 253-nucleotide ribosomal RNA is filed under the name uncultured bacterium. Its description in RNAcentral is "partial 16S ribosomal RNA". It matches the Rfam family "Bacterial small subunit ribosomal RNA", at positions 524 to 776 of the family's 1533-position model. The record is from RNAcentral.
UACGAAGGGGGCUAGCGUUGCUCGGAAUUACUGGGCGUAAAGGGAGCGUAGGCGGAUAGUUAAGUCAGAGGGGAAAGCCCAGGGCUCAACCUUGGAAUUGCCUUUGAUACUGGCUAUCUUGAGUAUGGGAGAGGUAAGCGGAACUCCGAGUGUAGAGGUGAAAUUCGUAGAUAUUCGGAAGAACACCAGUGGCGAAGGCGGCUUACUGGCCCAUUACUGACGCUGAGGCUCGAAAGCGUGGGGAGCAAACAGG